This 253-nucleotide ribosomal RNA is filed under the name uncultured bacterium. RNAcentral describes it as "partial 16S ribosomal RNA". It matches the Rfam family "Bacterial small subunit ribosomal RNA", at positions 524 to 776 of the family's 1533-position model. The record is from RNAcentral.
UACGAAGGACCCGAGCGUUAUCCGGAUUCAUUGGGUUUAAGGGGUGCGUAGGUGGAAUGAUAAGUCAGUGGUGAAAUCCUGCAGCUUAACUGCAGAACUGCCAUUGAUACUGUUGUUCUUGAGUACAUUUGAUGUGGGCGGAAUAUGACAUGUAGCGGUGAAAUGCUUAGAUAUGUCAUAGAACACCGAUUGCGAAGGCAGCUCACAAAACUGUUACUGACACUGAGGCACGAAAGCGUGGGGAGCAAACAGG